GAUGAACGCUAGCUACAGGCUUAACACAUGCAAGUCGAGGGGAAACGACAUCGAAAGCUUGCUUUUGAUGGGCGUCGACCGGCGCACGGGUGAGUAACGCGUAUCCAACCUGCCCAUCACUUGGGAAUAACCUUGCGAAAGUAAGACUAAUACCCAACGAUAUCCCACGAAGGCAUCGGAAUGGGAUUAAAGAUUUAUCGGUGAUGGAUGGGGAUGCGUCUGAUUAGCUUGUUGGCGGGGUAACGGCCCACCAAGGCAACGAUCAGUAGGGGUUCUGAGAGGAAGGGCCCCCACAGUGGAACUGAGACACGGGCCAAACGACUACGGGAGGCAGCAGUGAGGAAUAUUGGGCAGUGGACGAGAGCCUGAAGCAGGCAAGUAGAGUGCAGGAAGACGGCCCGAUGGGUUGUAAACUGCUGUUAUAAGGGAAUAAAGGGGGGCACGGGUGACUUUUUGCAGGUACCUUAUGAAUAAGGACCGGCUAAUUCCGUG
This 492-nucleotide ribosomal RNA is filed under the name uncultured bacterium. RNAcentral's name for it is "partial 16S ribosomal RNA". It matches the Rfam family "Bacterial small subunit ribosomal RNA", at positions 28 to 507 of the family's 1533-position model. The record is from RNAcentral.